This 267-nucleotide long non-coding RNA is filed under the name Ananas comosus (pineapple). RNAcentral describes it as "long non-coding RNA (ACOM_LNC001803)". Lineage: Eukaryota; Viridiplantae; Streptophyta; Magnoliopsida; Poales; Bromeliaceae. The record is from RNAcentral.
AAAUAUUGAAAUUUAAAAUUUAAAAUUGAAAACUUAAAAUUUAAAAAUUUUAUAUUUUAUCUUAAUUACUAAAACUAAAGUUUAAAAUAUUCAAAAUUUAAUAUUUAAAAUUUUUAAAUUCAAUUUAUAAUUUAAUAUUUAAAAUAUUGAAAUAUUGAAAUUUGAAAUUUAAAAUUUAAAACUUAAAAUUUAAAAAUUUUAUAUUUUAUCUUAAUUACUAAAACUAAAUUUCAAAAUUUUACAAUUUUAAAAUUUAAAUUUCAGCUU